Molecule: unclassified non-coding RNA, 269 nt
Filed under: Bombus terrestris (buff-tailed bumblebee)
Lineage: Eukaryota; Metazoa; Arthropoda; Insecta; Hymenoptera; Apidae
Description: misc RNA ENSBTSG00005023776.1
Source: RNAcentral
UGCCACCAGUGAAUAUCAGUUGAUCGCCACAUCAGCUGACUACGAGCCGCGUCAAGGCUGCUGGAGAGAUCAAAUGAAUAAUGUACCCCUUUCAGCCAGCUGCAUAACACAUCUCGGAUCAUUUUUAAGACUCGUUCGAUAAUAAUGCGCGAUCGAGCACGCUACAAAGUAUCUUCAUGGUUCGAUCGAGAAUCAACGUGGCUCGCGAUGGAUCAUCGUACGUCGUCCGCGAAGGAGAAGAGGAAAUCAGAUUAUUGAAAUGAUGUCAC